AUUGAACGCUGGCGGCAUGCCUUACACAUGCAAGUCGAACGGCAGCACGGGAGCAAUCCUGGUGGCGAGUGGCGAACGGGUGAGUAAUACGUAGAGAUCUGCCUUAUAGAGGGGGACAACUUGAGGAAACUUAAGCUAAUACCGCAUAAGCUCUAAGGAGGAAAAGAUGGGACCGGAAACGGCCAUUUGCUAUAAGAUGAAUCUACGUCGGAUUAGCUAGUUGGUGGGGUAAAGGCCUACCAAGGCGAAGAUCCGUAGCUGGUCUGAGAGGAUGAUCAGCCACACUGGGACUGAGACACGGCCCAGACUCCUACGGGAGGCAGCAGUGGGGAAUAUUGGACAAUGGGGGCAACCCUGAUCCAGCGAUGCCGCGUGUGCGAAGAAGGCCUGCGGGUUGUAGAGCACUUUAGGUGGGGAAGAAAGACGGUAGUUGAAUAGGCUGCCGAGUUGACGUUACCCACAGAAUAAGCACCGGCUAACUCUGUGCCAGCCGCCGCGGUAA
This 502-nucleotide ribosomal RNA is filed under the name uncultured bacterium. RNAcentral's name for it is "partial 16S ribosomal RNA". It matches the Rfam family "Bacterial small subunit ribosomal RNA", at positions 30 to 523 of the family's 1533-position model. The record is from RNAcentral.